RNAcentral lists this ribosomal RNA (405 nucleotides) under uncultured bacterium. RNAcentral's name for it is "partial 16S ribosomal RNA". It matches the Rfam family "Bacterial small subunit ribosomal RNA", at positions 28 to 526 of the family's 1533-position model. The record is from RNAcentral.
GACGAACGCUGGCGGCGUGCUUAACACAUGCAAGUCGAGCGGAGCGGCGAACGGGUGAGUAACGCGUGAGUAACUGCCCCCCUCUCUGGGAUAACAGUUGGAAACGGCUGCUAAUACCGGAUAGUGGGGGAUGACUCGCGUCCUAUCAGCUUGUUGGUGGGGUAGUGGCCUACCAAGGCGACGACGGGUAGCCGGCCUGAGAGGGCGACCGGCCACAUGGGGCUACGAUACGGCCCAAACGGCUACGGUGGGCAGCAGUGGGGAAUAUUGCACAGUGGGGGAGACCCUGAUGCAGCGGCGCCGCGUGCGGAAUGACGGCCUUCUGGUUGUAAACCGCUUUCAGCCAUGACGCGGUAGUGGCAGAAGAAGCACCGGCUAACUACGUGCCAGCAGCCGCGGUAAUAC